Long non-coding RNA from Megalobrama amblycephala (Wuchang bream), 2214 nucleotides. RefSeq lists it as uncharacterized. The transcript is spliced from 3 exons. The record is from RefSeq and is a predicted model, not a curated record. Lineage: Eukaryota; Metazoa; Chordata; Actinopteri; Cypriniformes; Xenocyprididae.
AACUUUAAUUUCUUUUCGCCUGAAGAAAGAAAGACAUGAACAUCUUGGAUGACAUGGGGGUGUCAGGAAGAGGAUUGUAUGGUGCAUCACACUGGACAGCAACUAAAGAACUGGCCAAGAAGCAAACUGAAUGUGAGGGGUAGUACCAUGUAUUUUAAGUAUGUAAUAAUAAGAAAUAAUAUGUACUUUGAGUGCAUUUUUUUUUAAGUAUAGUCAAGUAUAGUGGGGCCUACCAGGAAGGAGCUGGGUCAACUAUUGGUGAGGAAGUGGAGCAAGUGAACAGCUUCCUAUCUAGAACUGCUGUUACAAGCAAAUACAUGUCAAAAUCAGGUAUUAAUGCAGAAUUACUUUUGUUAUAUACACACCUCUCAUUGUCUUUUCUUAUAUUUCUGUCAUAGGCCAAGCAGACAUGAUUACACUGCAAGCUAUGUUGUGGAACAAGCGGGAGAUUCUCAAUUUGGGACAAGCGCUGGUUAACAGAUCUUUCAAGAAUCGGCUCCAUUUCUCACCAAGAGGAAGGUGUUUGAUAAGGUGAUGGCAGUGAGACACCUCCAGGAAGAGAGAGGUCUAAUUUGUAAGGAGAUGAAACAGCACUGGAUGGUCCCGACACACAAGAUGUCCAAAUUCGAAGCACUGAUUAAUGAGAUCAGCUCAAAAUGUAAGAAAGUCUUAGAAAAUUUAUUAGAUGUAAAAAAAAAAUAUUUUUCCUUUUGUUUUUCAGCUCUUUCUCCAACCCUGUCUGACAUUGCAUGCAAAGGUCUCCUCUGCAUUGUUCGAAAGAAACAUUAUGAACUUUAAACCUUUAACAGUUGGUAAAGGCAGGCUAUGUGAAAAUUUUCAGCCAACGAGAUUUGAUGUCUGAAGAAGAGAAGCUUGAACAGGAAGAUGACCUGCAAGACGAAGAGCUCUCAGAAAGCGUCAACAGCUCAGAUGACGAACAUGAUUUUCCUUAAUAAGGGACAUUUAAGCUGGGUUCAAACUGUAUGAUUUUGGCCACAAGAUUCCUCUGAUCUUUGCCAAAAAUCUGUAGUCUUUGAUCACUAGUUUAUGUUCACCAACAGCCGAUUAAUGACCGUUGCGAUCAAAAUUGACCUCAAAUGAAAUUCUUGCCGUGUCAGAAAAUUUGACUUACAGUCCUGCAGUGUGACUUCUCCUACGAUGACCAGAUUGUCUUUAUUUUUCAAGACAUGCUGUGAUCCCACAGUGUGACAUGAGGAUCAUGUUCGUACAGUCUGACAGGCAACAUUUGUAAAUGACUCUUAUAAAUCAUACAGUGUGCACCCGGCUUUAGAAUAAAUUACACAAUUCUGUAAAUGCAAAACCCAAAAAACAAUAAUUCCACAUGAAUGGGAACGUGAAUCAUACUUUGCCUUUAAAUGUCACAUAGAGCAAUUAGAUCAGAAGACUUGUUUGUCUUUUUGAUGUUUAUUGUGUCAACUUUUCUGUAACUGCCUGAUGCCAGUGUGUCUUUAAUAACAAUAACCUAUUAAAUUCCAUGUGGCUAAUUACACAUCUAACACAACUACUUUGAUGAUUAUGAUCAAUGGAGCUGUCUACACUUGAAAGAUCCAGUUAUGCAGUUUACAUUCAGUGUGUAUUUUUUUACACUUGGGACUUAUUGUACUUGUCCAAACUAAGUAAAAUGUAGUCCAAAAAUGUGUAUAAAUACUCUAAAUGAUUUAUUCACACAAAUAACUAUAAAAAAAUAUUGCAUAUGCAAAAAAUGUCAGUAUGUACUGCACAAAAAAUGCAUCAUGGAUACAUUGCACUUUUUAAAAAUUAUUAAUUUAAAAAUAUAUAUUUUUUUGAUAAAUCAAUUAGGAAGAUUUACAAACUCAUGAGUUAUUAGUUUUAAUAAUUACAAUAAUUUAUUUAGUCUAACAAAUGAUUUGCUGAAUCCGAGAAAUUUGUUAAACAUGAUGAUAUAUCUGUCUUAUUGAAUAGAAAAUGUAUUCUAAAAUCGGUAUAGCUGAUUUGGGGUGCAUAUAACAUCCAAAAGCUUUUUAAAUAAUUAUUUGAAUAUUUGCAUAAUAUUUAAUAUCUGUACAAUAUUUGACAAACACCAGGGUGAUGAUCCCUUGAUCGUUUUGAGUUGAGGGAAAUAUGAUGUGUCCUCCUAGAUUGUAUGAAUGUGUUCAGUCCUGGUAUGUAAAGCAGUUUGGCCAACGUGUUGUUUUUAAAUGUGCUACAUAAAUAAACUGAUUCAUUGAUUGA